RNAcentral lists this ribosomal RNA (398 nucleotides) under uncultured bacterium. RNAcentral describes it as "bacterial SSU rRNA". It matches the Rfam family "Bacterial small subunit ribosomal RNA", at positions 28 to 417 of the family's 1533-position model. The record is from RNAcentral.
GACGAACGCUGGCGGCGUGCUUAACACAUGCAAGUCGAGCGGUAAGGCCCUUCGGGGUACACGAGCGGCGAACGGGUGAGUAACACGUGGGUGACCUGCCCUCAGCUCUGGGAUAAGCCCGGGAAACUGGGUCUAAUACCGGAUAGGACCGCUUGCCGCAUGGUGGGUGGUGGAAAGCCAGUUACAUUGUUUCUGGCGGCUGGGGAUGGGCCCGCGGCCUAUCAGCUUGUUGGUGGGGUGAUGGCCUACCAAGGCGGCGACGGGUAGCCGGCCUGAGAGGGCGACCGGCCACACUGGGACUGAGACACGGCCCAGACUCCUACGGGAGGCAGCAGUGGGGAAUAUUGCGCAAUGGGCGGAAGCCUGACGCAGCGACGCCGCGUGGGGGAUGACGGCCU